GACGGAGGGUGCAAGUGUUAUCCGGAAUCACUGGGCGUAAAGCGUCUGUAGGUGGUUUAAAAAGUCCACUGUUAAAAAUUGAAGCUUAACUUCAAAGAUGCCGUGGAAACUUUUAAACUUGAGGAUGAUAGGGGUAGAGGGAAUUUCCAGUGGAGCGGUGAAAUGCGUAGAUAUUGGAAAGACCACCAAUGGCGAAGGCACUCUACUGGGCCAUUACUGACACUGAGAGACGAAAGCUAGGGGAGCGAAUGGG
RNAcentral lists this ribosomal RNA (253 nucleotides) under uncultured bacterium. Its description in RNAcentral is "partial 16S ribosomal RNA". It matches the Rfam family "Bacterial small subunit ribosomal RNA", at positions 524 to 776 of the family's 1533-position model. The record is from RNAcentral.